This 1201-nucleotide long non-coding RNA is filed under the name Olea europaea subsp. europaea. The record is from RNAcentral. Lineage: Eukaryota; Viridiplantae; Streptophyta; Magnoliopsida; Lamiales; Oleaceae.
GUCACAAUUCAUUGAUUGGUCACAAAAUCGAAACCUUUAUUGGUCACAACUCAUUUGUCAGUCACAAAUCAAAAAUUUCAUGAGUUACAAUUUAUUUAUUGGUCACAAGGUCUAAAUUUUUAUUGGUCACAACUAAUUUGUCGAUCACAAAUUAACAAAAUAAUUGAUCUCGAGUAAUGUUACUAUCACAAAUUAAUAAAUUAUGAGUCACAAUUACGUUUUUUAGGUCACAUAUUUUUUUGACACAAAUUAACCCAUUUAUUGGUCACAAUCAACCAAAUAAUUGGUUACAAAUACCCCCACGUCCCAUCCCAUCUAUCCCCACAACCAUGACCACCACCCUCAACCACCGCCAUCUAACUAAACUGCAAAACCACCAUACACCACAUCAACCAAAUAAGUUGUGACCCCCACAAGUGACUACCACACGCUACUUUCUCCAACAGCACCAUCGCCAUCGUCACUCCCAGAACCACCACCACUUCAAACAAAUCAACACAUCACAGAAAAACACAGCCACAAUCAUCUUGCCAGAUCCACCACCACCUCGAUAAACCCCACUACAAUGCAAAUCAACCGUCCUAAAUCACUGGCCAAUACCCAUAACCCACUAACCAGAAAAUCUCAACUCCAAAUCAUACAACAAACCGGCGCCAUCCACGUGCUACACACUACCAGUACACCUACUACCUACCCAGUAGUGUCGUCCCCUUCACGUUGAAUUCACAAUCCGUAUCGCCACCAUCCGCACAGUCAACGAUUUCCAUCCACCACAGAUAACAGCCAUCUACUACCAUACACAAACAUCAGUUUCAGAACAACAAAUCUCAACGACGAGCGGCGCCUGCACCUCUGUGAACAAUGCUUACAACGCCACCAGAUCGGCCGAUGUGAGUGUUGACUCUGAUGCUCAGAUCCAUGACGAUUUCGCAGCAGUCACGGCGAGGCGAGUGGCUCUCAGAUGACACUAUGAGGAUUCCGCGGCUCCGGUGCCAGUGUUGGUAGAGAUGAGCAGAGUACAGCGAGAGAGGGUAGUGAAAAGAGACAACGAUCGAUGCCUGUGAGAGAAUUACAGUUUAGAGAGAGAGAGAGAGAGUGGAGAGAAGAAAAUAGGAAGAAAUUGAUUUAGGGAUUGGACAGUAACUAAUUGAUUUAAGUUUUAUAUGUAUUAAUUAAUAAAAGAUCUGGAGCCUGUUUGGGC